UACGGAGGGGGCUAGCGUUGUUCGGAAUUACUGGGCGUAAAGCGCGCGUAGGCGGACCUGCAAGUCGGGGGUGAAAGCCCGAGGCUCAACCUCGGAACUGCCUUCGAUACUGCGGGUCUCGAGUCCGGGAGAGGUGAGUGGAAUUCCUAGUGUAGAGGUGAAAUUCGUAGAUAUUAGGAAGAACACCAGUGGCGAAGGCGGCUCACUGGACGACUGUUGACGCUGAGGUGCGAAAGCGUGGGGAGCAAACAGG
RNAcentral lists this ribosomal RNA (253 nucleotides) under uncultured bacterium. Its description in RNAcentral is "partial 16S ribosomal RNA". It matches the Rfam family "Bacterial small subunit ribosomal RNA", at positions 524 to 776 of the family's 1533-position model. The record is from RNAcentral.